AUACAAAAUUUGAAAAUGUGCAAUCGUAAAUCGUGUAUUUUAGUUUUUUCAACCGUUAUACUAGCUUUUAAUGGAUUACUGUGUCUUUGUUUUUUAUGUGUACCUCCAGGCGAAAAUGAGUUUUACAAACAAUUGAUGACAUAUAUUAUGAUUUUCUUGUGGCCUAAAUAUAAUGUUAUGCUAAUAAUUUUGAUUUGGACUACGCGGAAAUGGAAAUACAUAAUACUGGUUGAAUUAAUUUGUGCUUUGGUAGGGGUGUUGGUAAUAACGUAUUUGGUUCUAAACCAAGUGCAUAUCAUAGACUGGUACGAUUUUCCCGGAUAUAUAAUCUUCGGUCCUGAAAGAGAAGGAGGAGGUGGUGGAGGAGGCGGUCAUAGCCAUUACUAUGGAAAAGGAAGAGGCGGAAGAGGAAGAGGAGGAGGAGGAGG
Long non-coding RNA from Drosophila suzukii, 428 nucleotides. RefSeq lists it as uncharacterized. The record is from RefSeq and is a predicted model, not a curated record. Lineage: Eukaryota; Metazoa; Arthropoda; Insecta; Diptera; Drosophilidae.